RNAcentral lists this ribosomal RNA (253 nucleotides) under uncultured Haloplasma sp. RNAcentral's name for it is "partial 16S ribosomal RNA". It matches the Rfam family "Bacterial small subunit ribosomal RNA", at positions 524 to 776 of the family's 1533-position model. The record is from RNAcentral. Lineage: Bacteria; Bacillati; Mycoplasmatota; Mollicutes; Haloplasmatales; Haloplasmataceae.
UACGUAGGUGGCAAGCGUUGUCCGGAAUCAUUGGGCGUAAAGGGCGCGUAGGCGGUUAUUUAAGUGAGUUGUGAAAACUCUGGGCUUAACCCGGAGAUUGCAGUUCAUACUGGAUAACUUGAGUGCAGGAGAGGAUAGUGGAAUUCCUAGUGUAGCGGUGAAAUGCGUAGAUAUUAGGAGGAACACCAGUGGCGAAGGCGGCUGUCUGGACUGUAACUGACGCUGAGGCGCGAAAGCGUGGGGAGCAAACAGG